Molecule: long non-coding RNA, 623 nt
Organism: Argiope bruennichi
Lineage: Eukaryota; Metazoa; Arthropoda; Arachnida; Araneae; Araneidae
Exons: 3
Source: RefSeq, a predicted model, not a curated record
AAACUGUCAAAUAUUAAUAAUCAUAUGAAGACAUUUGUAAAAAAAAGGUUUCAUUUACGAUAUUUAUAAACAGCAAUAAAAGUUGUAAUUUACUUGAAAUAAAUACAAUAGGAAGUAACAGAUGAUUCAAUAGUAGUUAAUACGUCAUUUAAAAAUUAUUAUUUAAAGGCUGAAAACUAUCAUUGAAUUUGGCCAUUCGGAUAAAUUUAUUCUUUAAGAAUACAACCAAAUAUCAAAAAAUGCAUAAAACCAUUCUUCUUCUUCUGAUUGGUGUAGCAGUAGUCAGUGCCAAGUUUGCAUGUCCUAAAAAUUACUGUGACAAUGUAAAGUGCAACGCUGUGAGUUGUUCUUCCAAUCAAAAGUACAAAGAACAUGGAACAUUUUGCGGAUGUUGCCCUGCAUGCAUUAAUAUCAUAAAAAAAGGUGGAAGUUGCUUACCACUACUCCUCUUCGGAGACGAACCAGCACAAAUUGCAUGUGACGAUGGAUUAAAAUGCGAUUCUAAUACAUUUACAUGCCAAUAAUUACAAUAACUGGACCAGUAGAUUUUUGUAAUUUUGAUUAAGUUAUGUAUAUGGAGAUAUAAUAAAGAUGCCAUGCAUUGAUAAAAAUGUUUCUUCGUC